This 253-nucleotide ribosomal RNA is filed under the name uncultured bacterium. RNAcentral describes it as "partial 16S ribosomal RNA". It matches the Rfam family "Bacterial small subunit ribosomal RNA", at positions 524 to 776 of the family's 1533-position model. The record is from RNAcentral.
UACGUAGGGUGCGAGCGUUGUCCGGAAUUAUUGGGCGUAAAGAGCUCGUAGGCGGCUUGUCGCGUCGGAUGUGAAAGCCCGGGGCUUAACUCCGGGUCUGCAUUCGAUACGGGCAGGCUAGAGUGUGGUAGGGGAGAUCGGAAUUCCUGGUGUAGCGGUGAAAUGCGCAGAUAUCAGGAGGAACACCGGUGGCGAAGGCGGGUCUCUGGGCCGAUACUGACGCUGAGGAGCGAAAGCGUGGGGAGCGAACAGG